This 120-nucleotide small nucleolar RNA is filed under the name Trypanosoma cruzi marinkellei. RNAcentral describes it as "Small nucleolar RNA TBR17". It matches the Rfam family "Small nucleolar RNA TBR17". Rfam says of the family: TBR17 is a member of the C/D class of snoRNA which contain the C (UGAUGA) and D (CUGA) box motifs. Lineage: Eukaryota; Euglenozoa; Kinetoplastea; Trypanosomatida; Trypanosomatidae. The record is from Rfam by way of RNAcentral.
GGCGCUCUGUGCGCCUGAUGCUCCGCCGCGUGACUAUCCCCGUUAUGCAUAUCCUGUGUGCGCUCUAGCUCCAUCGGGGCCCUGAUGAGUCAGCAACAAACCAUGCAUUACACAUUUUGC